This 806-nucleotide small RNA is filed under the name Pan troglodytes (chimpanzee). Its description in RNAcentral is "processed transcript". Lineage: Eukaryota; Metazoa; Chordata; Mammalia; Primates; Hominidae. The record is from RNAcentral.
AGGACCCAGGGCGGAGGACACAGAGGGAAAAAGAAGGAUUUAGCUGCUUUGCUUGAGGUUUUGCCUUUUAAAAAGCACAAAGGUUUUACUUUUCCUUCUAAUAGACCAGUAAAGAAUAUUUUCUCAAACUGUAAACCUGCUGAAGCAAAGGGGACAGCUAGAUUUUGGUUUUAAUACUGUGCAUUUUUAGGCAUUUUUGCCUUUGUUAAGAAAUAAUUGUUUUAUUUUGUAGAAAAGGACUUGGUAUUAUAAUGACCUUGGAUUUUCACUAAAUUGAUAUUAAUGGCCAAAAGAGAUUUACUUUCCUUAUUACUUGUUUAAACAAGCAGAAUAUAAGAGUCCUACAGAAUGCACUUUUGCUUUCAGAUAGCAGCCUUCACCUCUUCUUACAGAGCCAUCUGAAUUCAGAAGACAUUGAGGCGUGUGUUUCUGGGCAGACUAAGUACUCUGUGGAAGAAGCAAUUCACAAGUUUGCCUUAAUGAACAGACGUUUCCCUGAAGAAGAUGAAGAAGGAAAAAAAGAAAAUGAUAUAGAUUAUGAUUCAGAAAGUUCAUCCUCUGGGCUUGGACACAGUAGUGAUGACAGCAGUUCACAUGGAUGUAAAGUAAAUACAGCUCCGCAGGAAUCCUGAAAAAUAAUUCUAAUGUUACUAUCUUAGGAAUAGCAAAUUAUGUCCAGUCAUAGAGAAGAAAGCUUCAUAAUAAUACAUUCUUACCUAAAGCUCACUGUCAUGAUGUUAGGUAUUUAAAUUCUUAAAGAUGUUGGGUUGUUUAUUAGUGGUAUUUUUAUGUUGUCUUAUUUUAGG